CCCUUAGAUGUUCUGGGCCGCACACGCGCUACACUGAAGGAGGCAGCGUGUACUCCUGGAUCGAAAGAUUUGGGUAACCCGCGAAUCUCCUUCGUGCUAGGGAUGGAGGUUUGCAAUUAUCCUUCAUGAACGAGGAAUUCCCAGUAAGUGCAAGUCAUAAGCUUGCGCUGACUACGUCCCUGCCCUUUGUACACACCGCCCGUCGCUACUACCGAUUGAAUGAUUUAGUGAGGACUUCGGACUGGGACCGAUGCGGCUUUCGGGCUGCGUCGGUAUUCUGGAAAGAUGUCCAAACUGUAUCAUUUAGAGGAAGUAAAAGUCGUAACA
This 327-nucleotide ribosomal RNA is filed under the name uncultured eukaryote. RNAcentral's name for it is "partial 18S ribosomal RNA". It matches the Rfam family "Eukaryotic small subunit ribosomal RNA", at positions 1470 to 1796 of the family's 1831-position model. The record is from RNAcentral.